AAGACCUUGCGCUUUUGGAGCGGCCGAUGCCUGAUUAGCUUGUUGGUAAGGUAAAAGCUUACCAAGGCUUCGAUCAGUAGCUGGUCUGAGAGGACGACCAGCCACACUGGGACUGAGACACGGCCCAGACUCCUACGGGAGGCAGCAGUGGGGAAUUUUGGACAAUGGGGGCGACCCUGAUCCAGCCAUGCCGCGUGAGUGAAGAAGGCCUUCGGGUUGUAAAGCUCUUUCAGCCGGAACGAAACGGUUACGGAUAACACCCGUGACUACUGACGGUACCGGAAGAAGAAGCACCGGCUAACUACGUGCCAGCAGCCGCGGUAAUACGUAGGGUGCGAGCGUUAAUCGGAAUUACUGGGCGUAAAGCGUGCGCAGGUGGUUUUGUAAGUCAGAUGUGAAAGCCCCGGGCUCAACCUGGGAACU
RNAcentral lists this ribosomal RNA (423 nucleotides) under uncultured bacterium. RNAcentral describes it as "bacterial SSU rRNA". It matches the Rfam family "Bacterial small subunit ribosomal RNA", at positions 207 to 622 of the family's 1533-position model. The record is from RNAcentral.